This 324-nucleotide ribosomal RNA is filed under the name Triticum aestivum (bread wheat). Its description in RNAcentral is "partial small subunit ribosomal RNA". Lineage: Eukaryota; Viridiplantae; Streptophyta; Magnoliopsida; Poales; Poaceae. The record is from RNAcentral.
AUGUAUCAAACUAUAUAUUUACAAAUAUAUAUAUUUAUUAAAGCAUCUCAUCAUUUAUAUAUUCAUAGCUGCAGUACACAUUUGUGCCAUAGUUUCCUAUCUGACACUAUAAUAUACAACAGACACGAGUCACAGUGCAUUUAUCGAACGAAUUGUUUCAGCUCAUUUUUUUCUGACAGUGAUGAUGCUUACCUUAUCUGUGAAAGAAAUAUUAUGAUAAUUAUCAUUUUUUUUGGCUCGUCGAAGAAAUUUCGUCUUAAGAUUCGCCGGUCUUGUCUCUCGGAGGUGCUCAUAGAGAUGGGCUAUGAGUGUGUGCGUUCAUAA